This 92-nucleotide small nucleolar RNA is filed under the name Erythranthe guttata (spotted monkey flower). RNAcentral's name for it is "Mimulus guttatus (spotted monkey flower) Small nucleolar RNA R24". It matches the Rfam family "Small nucleolar RNA R24". From Rfam's summary of the family: snoR24 is a C/D box small nucleolar RNA which acts as a methylation guide for 18S ribosomal RNA in plants. Lineage: Eukaryota; Viridiplantae; Streptophyta; Magnoliopsida; Lamiales; Phrymaceae. The record is from Rfam by way of RNAcentral.
AUUGCGAUGAUGAGGUGCUAACACGUAAGUGUAACCAACUAUGUGGUGGUUACUCGAUGAAAUCUUCUUGUUACGCUUGGCUUCUGAGCUUU